RNAcentral lists this ribosomal RNA (253 nucleotides) under uncultured bacterium. Its description in RNAcentral is "partial 16S ribosomal RNA". It matches the Rfam family "Bacterial small subunit ribosomal RNA", at positions 524 to 776 of the family's 1533-position model. The record is from RNAcentral.
UACGGAGGGUGCAAGCGUUAUCCGGAUUCACUGGGUUUAAAGGGUGCGUAGGUGGUUUUGUAAGUCAGUGGUGAAAGCCCGGAGCUCAACUCCGGAACUGCCAUUGAUACUGCUUAACUUGAAUCAACUUGAGGUGGAUGGAAUAUUACAUGUAGCGGUGAAAUGCUUAGAUAUGUAAUAGAACACCGAUUGCGAAGGCAGUUCACUAAGGUUGUAUUGACACUGAGGCACGAAAGCGUGGGGAUCAAACAGG